This 2461-nucleotide long non-coding RNA is filed under the name Homo sapiens (human). RNAcentral's name for it is "HSALNT0015001". Lineage: Eukaryota; Metazoa; Chordata; Mammalia; Primates; Hominidae. The record is from RNAcentral.
GUCGCCGUCUAAAGGUGGGCUCUAUAGAGGCGACCGGCAAGCUGGAACACCAACCUGGAAAGAGAGUGAGCCACAAGGACCAAUUGGAAGCCUGUGGGGGAUAUCGGGGGCGGGGCUGCUGGCUGUGGUACUUUUGCAGCUUUGGUGGGCUCCGGCUUCCUUCACUCCAGCCCACCGCGUCCGAGAGACUUAGCAGGGCGUCAAACUGGAGAGCGGAAGGAUGGAACCUUUUAUUCUCAGGUGGAGAGGAUUAAGCUUUGCGGUGUUAGCAGAAAAUGAUCGAGCUCCAGAAAAUGAUUUGGAGUCUGCAGGUGUACCCAGCAGCUCCGAAGAGACAGCGACCAUCGAGAACAAGCCAUGAUGAUGAUGGUGGUUUGUCGAAAAGGAAAUGGGGAAAUGUGGGGAAAAGAGAGAUCAGACUGUUACUGUGUCUGUGUAGAAAGAAGUAGACAUAAGAGACUCCAUUUUGUUCUGUACUAAGAAAAAUUAUUCUGCCUUGAGAUGCUGUUAAUCUGUAACCCUACCCCCAACCCUGUGCUCCCUGAAACACGUGCUGUGUCAACUCAGGGUUAAAUGGAUUAAGGGCUGUGCAGGAUGUGCUUUGUUAAACAAAUGCUUGAAGGCAGCAUGCUUGUUAAGAGUCAUCAUCACUCCCUAAUCUCAAGUACCCAGAGACAAUACGCUGCGGAAGGCCGCAGGGACCUCUGCCUAGGAAAGCCAGGUAUUGUCCAAGGUUUCUCCCCAUGUGAUAGUCUGAAAUAUGCUGGCCGGGAAAGACCUGACCGUCCCCCAGCCCAACACCCGUAAAGGGUCUGUGCUGAGGAGGAUUAGUAAAAGAGGAAGGAAGGCCUCUUUGCAGUUGAGAUAAGAGGAAGGCAUCUGUCUCCUGCUCGUCCCUGGGCAAUGGGAUGUCUCGGUGUAAAACCCGAUUGUAUGUUCCAUCUACUGAGAUGGGGAAAACCGCCUUAGGGCUGGAUGUGGGACAUGCUGGCAGCAAUACUGCUCUUUAAGGCAUUGAGAUGUUUAUGUGUAUGCACAUCAAAAGCACAGCACUUUUUUCUUUACCUUGUUUAUGAUGCGGAGACGUUUGUUCACAUGUUUUCCUGCUGACCUUCUCUCCACUAUUACCCUAUUGUCCUGCCACAUCCCCCUCUCCGAGAAACGCCCAAUAAUGAUCAAUAAAUACUGAGGGAACUCAGAGACUGGUGCCGGUGCGGGUCCACUGUAUGCUGAGCGCCACUUCCCUAAGCCCACUUUUCUUUCUCUAUACUUUGUCUCUGUGUCUCCUUCUUUUCUUAAGUCUCUCAUUCCACCUGACAAGAAAUGCCCACAAGUGUGGAGGGGCAGGCCACCCCUUCACUCAGCCUCCUGAGUAGCUGGGAUUGCAGGUGCGCGCCACCAUGUCUGGCUAAUUUUUGUGUUUUUAGUAGAGGCGGGGUUUCACCCUGUUGGCCAGGUUGGUCUUGAACUCCUGACCUCAGGUGAUCCACCCAUCUGGGCCUCCCAAAGUUCUGAGAUUACAGGCAUGAGUCACCGUGCCCAGCCCAUUUAUCCUUGAUAUAGCUAAAUUACUGAGCAUUAGGAAGGGUGGAACUUUCAGCCUGUAAAAUAUGAGUGAGGUUUCACAAAAACUAGCACAAUGUCUGGGGCCCAGAUUAUUCUAUUUGUGACUGGGCGGGAAGAGGUAUAUAUAUAGUAAUUUUUGUAUUUUUAGUAGAGACGGGGUUUCACCAUGUUGGCCAGGCUGGUCUUGAACUCCUGACGUUAAGUGAUCCAUCUGCCUCCCAAAGUGCUGGGAUUACAGGUGUGAGCCACCACUUUGGGCCAUAGAUCGGGUGAUUGGGGGAAGACCUGAGGUAUCUGAGCAGAAAUCUGGUUGGGGAGUGAGCCAACAGUUAUCUGGAGGGAAACUGGUUCAGGCAGAGGGAAGAGCAAAUCCAAAGCUCCUAAAGCAAAAGCAUAUUUUUGGUGUAUUUGAGAAACAGCAAGAAGGUCAAUGUAGCUAAGAGCCGGAAUAAGAGAAGAGAUGCAGGCAGGGAUGAGAUUGUUUUUGGCUUCUUAGGUCAUGGUAAGAACUUGGAUUUUAUUUUUUGUGUAAUGGGCACCCAUCAGAUGGUGUUGAGGAGGGGACUGACACAAAAUCAUUUAGGUAUUAAACUGAUCCUUCCGCUGCUCCAUGGGGACCCAGAGUGGAAGUAGUAGCAGGAAACCAAUUAGGCUUUUACAAUAGUUCAGGUAAGAGAUGACAGUGACUUGGACUAGGGUGUAGUAGCUAUGGAGAUGGUUGAAAAUGGCUAGAUGUGGGAUCUAUUUUAAAGGUACCACCAACAGCAUUUGCAGACUCAAGGAUGAUUUCAAAGUUUUGGGUCUGAGCAACUAGGUGAAUGAUAACAUUGUUUACUGAGACGGGGAGGCCUUAAGUAGAAGGUUUAGGAGGGAAAAUAUAGAUUUUGCUAUGGAC